AAUGAACGCUGGCGGCAGGCCUAACACAUGCAAGUCGAACGGAUCCUUCGGGCUUAGUGGCGGACGGGUGAGUAACGCGUGGGCACAUACCCAAAGGUACGGAAUAGCCUCGGGAAACUGGGAGUAAUACCGUAUGUGCUCGAAAGAGGAAAGAUUUAUCGCCUUUGGAUUGGCCCGCGUUGGAUUAGGUAGUUGGUGGGGUAAUGGCCUACCAAGCCGACGAUCCAUAGCUGGUUUGAGAGGAUGAUCAGCCACACUGGGACUGAGACACGGCCCAGACUAAUACGGAGGGGAGCAGUGGGGAAUAUAAGACAACGGGGCAAGCCGUGAUCUAGCCCUGGCGCGAGAAGGAUGAAGGCCUUAGGUUUGUAAAGAGCUAUCAGGUGGGAAGAAAAUGACUGUGCAGACAGAAGCAGCAGCGGCUAACUCCGUGCCAGCCGUAGCAGUAA
RNAcentral lists this ribosomal RNA (449 nucleotides) under uncultured bacterium. RNAcentral describes it as "partial 16S ribosomal RNA". It matches the Rfam family "Bacterial small subunit ribosomal RNA", at positions 29 to 523 of the family's 1533-position model. The record is from RNAcentral.